RNAcentral lists this ribosomal RNA (1365 nucleotides) under Triticum aestivum (bread wheat). RNAcentral describes it as "partial small subunit ribosomal RNA". Lineage: Eukaryota; Viridiplantae; Streptophyta; Magnoliopsida; Poales; Poaceae. The record is from RNAcentral.
AUGUCCCCGAGGAAGAAACCCAAAGCCGAGGCCGUCUCCCUCGACGCCGCCGGCCUCGACCGUCUCAGCGCCCUCCCGGACGACCUCCUCCACGCGGUCAUGUCGUUCCUGAGGGCGUGGGAGGUGGCCCGCACCUGCGUGCUCUCGCGCCGCUGGCGCACCCUCUGGGCCUCCGCGCCCUGCGUCGACCUCCGGGUCUGCUGCAAGGCCCGGCACCGGCGCCUCCCCACGCGGCUCGCCAACUUCACCAACCACUUCCUGCUCCUGCGGGAGGCGUCCGCGCCGCUGGACGCCCUCCGCCUCCUGUCCAGCCCGCCACGUCAGGAUGUUCCAUACAUGCCCUACAGUCCCCAGUACGACGACGACGGGGAGGACUACUCCUCCGAGGACGUCGAAAUGUGGAUCCGCGCUGCCAUAAACCGCAGGGCCCGGUUCAUCCAGCUCAGCCAUCAUCCAAGGGACGACGACCUCUCCGACCUCGACAACGUGCCCCUCGUCUCCUGCCACCUCAAACACCUGCAUCUGUCGGGCACAAUGCUGUACGACAAGACGCUGAGGCAGCUCUCCUCUCACUGCCCUUCUCUGCAAGUCCUGGAGCUCAAGGACUGCUCCCUGGAUGGCCCCCACAUUUCAUCUGCCUCGCUUAUCACUUUGACCAUGGUCGAGUGCAGGUUCAUCAGGGACCUCACCGUUGCUGCUCCAAACCUCAUAUCGCUGCGCUGUGUCAAUCCAUACCACCGUGCUCCCUCAUUCGAAGACAUGGCUUCCCUGGCCACAGCCACAAUCGUGCUUAAUGACUCUUUCUUGCAUGAUGAGUUUGAAGAGAGGUACGUAGAGCCCGAUCCAGAGGUGUUUGAGUGUGACAGCGACUCAAAUGAUGAUAGCGACUUGAGUACAUGUGAUGAAUUCUAUGGUGACAAAGUUUUAGGUGGCCAAAAUGUUAUCCGCAGCCUGUCGAAUGCUACAAGUUUGGAGCUGAUAGCUGAUGCCGAAGAGGUGAUUCUGAAUAGGGAAUUGGAGAUGUGCCCAGUUUUUAGCAACCUGAAGGUGUUAUCCCUUGGUGAAUGGUGUAUGGCUGCUGACUUGCAUCCAUUAGUUUUGUUCCUGCAGCAUGCUCCAAAUCUCGAGAGGCUUUUUCUUAAACUCAAAACGGAACAUGAGGAAAUAGAUGACGAUAUCAAACCCGAGGGUACAUCAUUUGCUUGCAAAAACCUUACAAUGGUCAAUAUAAAAUGUCCCAAGGAUGAUGAAAGAGUUCCUGUGUUAGAACAGUUCUUCGUGGCUAAUGGCAUCGCGAUGGAAAAGAUAUCUGUCUAUCACCGACCAACUCACCAACCUCGCCUUUCCUUGGCCAUAAGACGCUGA